UUCCGGUUGAUCCUGCCGGACCUGACUGCUAUCGGAUUGAUACUAAGCCAUGCGAGUCUUUGCAGUAAUGCAAGGCAGACGGCUCAGUAACACGUAGUCAACUUACCCUAUGGACGAGGAUAAUCUCGGGAAACUGAGCAUAAUACUCGAUAGAUCAUAAUGCCUGGAAUGGUUUAUGGUUGAAAUGAUUCGUCGCCAUAGGAUGGGACUGCGGCCUAUCAGCUUGUUGGUGAGGUAAUGGCCCACCAAGGCGAUUACAGGUACGGGCUCUGAGAGGAGAAGCCCGGAGAUGGGUACUGAGACAAGGACCCAGGCCCUAUGGGGCGCAGCAGGCGAGAAAACUUUGCAAUGUGCGAAAGCACGACAAGGUUAAUCCGAGUGAUUUCUGCUAAAGAAAUCUUUUGCAAGUCAUAAAACCACUAGUGAAUAAGGGGUGGGCAAGUUCUGGUGUCAGCCGCCGCGGUAAAACCAGCACCUCAAGUGGUCAGGAGGAUUAUUGGGCCUAAAGCAUCCGUAGCCGGCUCUGUAAGUUUUCGGUUAAAUCCAUGUGCUCAACAUAUGGGCUGCCGAAAAUACUGCAUAGCUAGGGAGUGGGAGAGGUAGACGGUACUCGGUAGGAAGGGGUAAAAUCCUUUGAUCUAUCGAUGACCACCUGUGGCGAAGGCGGUCUACCAGAACACGUUCGACGGUGAGGGAUGAAAGCUGGGGGAGCAAACCGGAUUAGAUACCCGGGUAGUCCCAGCUGUAAACGAUGCAGACUCGAUGAUGCAUUGGCAUAUAGCCAGUGCAGUGUCGCAGGGAAGCCGUUAAGUCUGCCGCCUGGGAAGUACGUACGCAAGUAUGAAACUUAAAGGAAUUGGCGGGGGAGCACCACAAGGGGUGAAGCCUGCGGUUCAAUUGGAGUCAACGCCGGG
RNAcentral lists this ribosomal RNA (914 nucleotides) under uncultured marine archaeon. RNAcentral describes it as "bacterial SSU rRNA". It matches the Rfam family "Archaeal small subunit ribosomal RNA", at positions 1 to 922 of the family's 1478-position model. The record is from RNAcentral.